This 497-nucleotide ribosomal RNA is filed under the name uncultured bacterium. RNAcentral describes it as "partial 16S ribosomal RNA". It matches the Rfam family "Bacterial small subunit ribosomal RNA", at positions 28 to 507 of the family's 1533-position model. The record is from RNAcentral.
GAUGAACGCUGGCGGCGUGCCUAAUACAUGCAAGUCGAGCGAACAGACGAGGAGCUUGCCCCUCUGACGUUAGCGGCGGACGGGUGAGUAACACGUGGAUAACCUACCUAUAAGACUGGGAUAACUUCGGGAAACCGGAGCUAAUACCGGAUAAUAUAUUGAACCGCAUGGUUCAAUAGUGAAAGACGGUUUUGCUGUCACUUAUAGAUGGAUCCGCGCCGCAUUAGCUAGUUGGUAAGGUAACGGCUUACCAAGGCAACGAUGCGUAGCCGACCUGAGAGGGUGAUCGGCCACACUGGAACUGGAACACGGUCAAGACGACUGCGGGAGGCCGCAGUAGGGAAUCUUCCGCAGUAGGCGAAAGCAUGACGGAGCAACGCCGCGUGAGAGAUGAAGGUCUUCGGAUCGUAAAACUCUGUUAUUAGGGAUGAACAAAUGUGUAAGUAACUAUGCACGUCUUGACGGUACCUAAUCAGAAAGCCACGGCUAACUACGUG